Molecule: long non-coding RNA, 176 nt
Filed under: Ictidomys tridecemlineatus (thirteen-lined ground squirrel)
Lineage: Eukaryota; Metazoa; Chordata; Mammalia; Rodentia; Sciuridae
Description: lncRNA (ENSSTOG00000033548.1)
Source: RNAcentral
AGUUUCACCUCAGGGGAUGGUCAAAAAGAGAUCAGCUUUUGAAGAUCUUACCAAUGCUUCUCAAAGUCAACCUGCACAGUCCAAGAAGGAAGCCAAUAAGGAGAUUGUAAAAGAUGUUUUCAGGAAAAUAAGCAAGAAUAGGCGUGUUUACGGAUCUGCUAAACACAAGGAGAUGA